UCCGUAGGUGAACCUGCGGAAGGAUCAUUACAAAUCAUAAUAGGCCGCAAGGCCGAUAUGUUCGGUGCAGCAAUGCAUCGUUUCGCGCUUGUAUGUUUGACAGAGUAAUGUUGGAUACACACAUAAAGAGACAACUUUUAACAAUGGAUCUCUUGGCUCUUGCAACGAUGAAGAACGCAGUAAAGUGCGAUAUAUAGUGCGAUUUGCAUGAAUCUGUGAGUCAUCUAGUCUUUGAACGCAACUUGCGCCUCUUUGAGGCAUGUCUGUUUGAGUACCGCAUACCAAAUGCAGCAAUGCAACUUGGUCAUAUGAUGAGUAAUUAUUAUUUGACUAAAACGUAGCCAGAUAAGGAGUAUUGUCGUUUCCUUGAUGAGUUAGGACGCAAGUCUUUCAUCAAUAGGAUUACUUCACCUCCCAUCAAACUUAUUCUAGUAAAUUGGUCUCAAAUCAGGCAAGACUACCCGCUGAACUUAA
Molecule: ribosomal RNA, 474 nt
Filed under: uncultured fungus
Lineage: Eukaryota; Fungi
Description: eukaryotic LSU rRNA
Rfam family: 5.8S ribosomal RNA (bases 133-277)
Source: RNAcentral